ACCCCCCCUGCAGCUACUCACGGUCUACCUUCUCUCUCCGCACAGGGGGCAAGAGCUGGGGUGAAGCCUGGGCCGGUGUGUUGGCGGUGUGGGGAGCCCGGACAUUUCCAGGACCAGUGCCACCACAUGGAGGUCGGAACAUUGGUCCGGGUUCCCACAUCGCCACCCACCUCCCCUGAUCGAGCUGGAGCGUACCGCAUACCAGGAGAAGCGCAGCGGCAGCAGGACCAGCAAGAGAAAGCCGGUGCAGUCGGUAAAGGUGGGAGGAGACUUUAGACUAAGAGAGAGUGAGUGCAAGCAGUGGAGGAUGCACAAACCUCAAAUUUGUCACAGG
Colossoma macropomum (tambaqui) is the source of this 334-nucleotide long non-coding RNA. RefSeq lists it as uncharacterized. The record is from RefSeq and is a predicted model, not a curated record. NCBI's taxonomy places the organism in Eukaryota, Metazoa, Chordata, Actinopteri, Characiformes, Serrasalmidae. The transcript has 3 exons.